GGAUAAUGCAAGUGUUUAACAGAUGCUUCACUAUUAAAAUAUUUUCCCCCCAAGUCUCAAAUAUUGAAGAAUCUCUAACCAGGUACAGUAUCACUCUGCUCUCUUUUCUGGUUGAAAAGAAAAAAAGAAAGAAAACGCAGGUAUUGCUUUUCGAAGUGCUUUGUAGGUAAUCGAGGGACACCAGUCCCAACGAAGACCUUGGGCGAUUUCAAAGUGCGGGCACCUCGAUUCCCCGAAUCUGUAGUGUGGCUGGUAUCGGUGUUUCCCUGGUUUAACUAGCCUGCUUGAAGGCGCAGAUCAUUCAUGGGGAAGUAAAACCGAAACCAGUCCUCUCCACCCCCUGCGGGUCUUCACUUUCCCAGUCUACAUCUGCCUGUGACUCCAGAAAGACAAACUGCAGAUUGGCCAAGUGCCUUUCAAAUUGUUUUUUACUGGAUGAAGAAACUCAACCAAGAAAAUAUAUGUCAAUUCUUGUAUAUGGGACAAUAUUAGCUGCUGUGAUUUUUAAUACUAGCAUAAAAUAUAAGAAUGUUUUUAUUACUGUGACAUUGUUUUUUUCUAAAUGAAUGCAUAGUGUAACAAUUGGUGUCAAAAAGCAUUGAAUUUUUUUCAAAUGGAUUAAGCUGGAAUAAUAAAGUGUAUCUAUGAGAUGAUUUCUGUAAACUCUGACUUGCUGAGAAAAAAGUGAAAAAGCUUUUUCUGGAAGAAACAUGGCAACUUAACCAUUAUUAAUCUGGACUAAAUAAAACAGGAAACUGCUUCUUUACAUUUCUAGUAAUUUUUUCUGCUUUUCCAAACAUUGUUAAGUUCUAUGCAACUUGUGCUACUCAAGUAAAGAUGAUGUCAGUAAUAAAAUUACAGAAUCUA
Molecule: non-coding RNA, 867 nt
Filed under: Pongo abelii (Sumatran orangutan)
Lineage: Eukaryota; Metazoa; Chordata; Mammalia; Primates; Hominidae
Source: RNAcentral